UAUUGGUAUUCAUUAUAUUUAAAUUAAUGUUGAUAGUAACGUGUAUUCUUAUCAAAUAGUGUCGAUAAGGUCAAUAAACGUAGAUUUAGUGAUUAAACAGCUUGUAUAUGCGUCUUUCUGGUUAACUAAAACCCAAAUAUUUUAAUAAGAUAGAAUAAUUUAAAUUCAACAAAAACAAAAUCAAUCAGACUCAUGGUAAUGAUAACGAGUUAAACAAAAUGUCAUUGUCGCAGACCACGGUCAUUCUUUAUCGUUUUAUGAUUGAAUCCUAAUGAUAUAUGAGUAAUUUGCAUGUUGAAUUGAAACUAAACUUUUAAACAUGUUUAUUUUACUAUAUUUAUACGCAAGCUUAGUCAAUUUACUUUAAAUCUAUUUUGCAAAAAAAACUGAAUUGAAAUUUUCAAGUGAAUUCAUAUUUGUUUAUUCAAUAUUUUCUUGUCUGUACAACGUUACAAGUUAUUUUAAUAAAAGUGAGAGCUGAGAAUUAUUAUGGAGAGAUUUAAAAAACGCUCGCCAUCACAACAUUAAUAUCUUCUCAACUUGGCAUCAAAGCAAAAAAAAAAAUGAUUUUAAUAUUAAACAUCGCCUCAAAGUUCAAAAACAUUGAUAUUAUUAUUGCCACCCUGAAAUUGUCACGAGGAUAUCAAAAUGCAAGAAGGACUGAAGCCCAGAACUAUAUUUGGAUUCAACACUGUAUUACAUGUUUAAGUGUAGAUUAAAACAUCGCACACUAAAUUCACCACAGUGUGCUCAUUGAGCGCAUGUGAGGCUAUUUUUUUUAUUAUUAUUAUUAACGUUACCAUUAAGGAUAUUGCUUUUUAAUUUUUAAUCGACGUAUCUUAGAAAAUAUAUCAUCCAUGAAAAUUCUAUCAACAUUAGUUUACUCAGCAUCAUUUAUAUUAUUAAUAAUAAAAUGAGUCAUUAAUAAAUAGUUUAUUUUUUUCCCUAUUUUUACAAUUACAAAGUAAACUAUUUGUUCAAUUGAAUUAAAGUAAGAACUAUAACCCGAAGACUACUGUUUAUGAAAGUCUAAAGGCCCUUCUGGUUUAUCUUAAGCCUGUCCAAAAAAUAAAAAAUUUUAAACAUAAUGAUAUUAUUUAGUUAUUUAUUAUAUAAAAUUCAUUGUUGGGUAUUAACUAGCAAAAUUAAAGUAAUUUUUUUUUUAACUUUUCAACUUAACUAAUUGUUUUUCUAAUAAACUUUUUAACUUUUAAUUUUCUGUUGAAAUAAGUAGCUUUUUUCAGUUAAUUAGUUAAAAUAACAGUUAAGCUAAAUUUAAAAUUUCAUAAAAAAUGUAUGUCAUUAUAUUCUGCGUACGUGAUUUAAUUUAAAAACAUUGAAUCUUCCUCUAUCCCAAAUAUUAUAUUUAUAUAACAAUAAAUAUACUUUUUUGAAUUUUUAAAAAAUGUAUGUGUUUUUUUCUGAUUUAUUUUUAAUAACUAAUUUUAAUGAUAAAACAAUGCAACCAACACCAAAAUGUGCAAAACGAAUAACAAUUUUUUUAAAUCUUUAAUAUUUUCUUUCUAUUCAAGUUUAAAAGUUAAAAAUCGAUUCUUAGCUUUCCCUUGCAUUACG
Daktulosphaira vitifoliae (grape phylloxera) is the source of this 1575-nucleotide long non-coding RNA. RefSeq lists it as uncharacterized. The record is from RefSeq and is a predicted model, not a curated record. The transcript has 3 exons. Lineage: Eukaryota; Metazoa; Arthropoda; Insecta; Hemiptera; Phylloxeridae.